AACGAACGCUGGCGGCGUGCCUAACACAUGCAAGUCGAACGAGAAGGUUUCCUUCGGGGGAACUAGUAAAGUGGCGCAAGGGUGAGUAACACGUGAAUAAUCUACCUACAAAAUUCGGGAUAACUCGGCGAAAGUUGUGCUAAUACCGGAUAAGACCACACUCCGUAUGGAGAGUGGCCAAAGGAGUCUCAAACUCCGUUUGUUGAUGAGUUCGCGGACCAUUAGCUUGUUGGUGGGAUAACAGCCCACCAAGGCUACGAUGGUUAGCCGGCCUGAGAGGGUGAUCGGUCACACUGGAACUGAGACACGGUCCAGACUCCUACGGGAGGCAGCAGUGGGGAAUAUUGCGCAAUGGGCGAAAGCCUGACGCAGCAACGCCGCGUGAGGGAUG
This 391-nucleotide ribosomal RNA is filed under the name uncultured Nitrospina sp. Its description in RNAcentral is "bacterial SSU rRNA". It matches the Rfam family "Bacterial small subunit ribosomal RNA", at positions 29 to 410 of the family's 1533-position model. Lineage: Bacteria; Pseudomonadati; Nitrospinota; Nitrospinia; Nitrospinales; Nitrospinaceae. The record is from RNAcentral.